AUUGAACGCUAGCGGGAGGCUUAACACAUGCAAGUCGAACGAGUGGCGGACGGGUGAGUAAUGUAUGGGAACGUGCCCAGUGGCGGGGGAUAACUACUGGAAAGGGUAGCUAAUACCGCAUACCAUCGGAGCGGCCGAUAUCGGAUUAGCUAGUUGGUGGGGUAAAGGCUCACCAAGGCGACGAUCCGUAGCUGGUUUGAGAGGACGACCAUCCACACGGGAACUGAGACACGGCCCAGACGCCUACGGGAGGCAGCAGUGGGGAAUAUUGGACAAUGGGGGAAACCCUGAUCCAGCCAUCCCGCGUGUAUGAGAAGGCCUUCGGGUUGUAAAGUACUUUUGGCGGAGAAGCGGUAUCUGCAGAAUAAGCACCGGCUAACUACGUGCCAGCAGCCGCGGUAAUUC
Molecule: ribosomal RNA, 405 nt
Filed under: uncultured bacterium
Lineage: Bacteria
Description: partial 16S ribosomal RNA
Rfam family: Bacterial small subunit ribosomal RNA
Source: RNAcentral